This 74-nucleotide ribozyme is filed under the name Ambivirus sp. Its description in RNAcentral is "hairpin ribozyme". It matches the Rfam family "Hairpin ribozyme 1 from viruses-like metatranscriptomes". The record is from RNAcentral. RNAcentral also lists the same sequence under 1 other name.
AAGCGGGGCGGCAUGCAUGUCGCGAAGCUUGCCAGGGAAACAUCGUUUUUCUUAAAACGAGCAUAUUAACUGGC